RNAcentral lists this long non-coding RNA (528 nucleotides) under Sorghum bicolor (sorghum). RNAcentral describes it as "long non-coding RNA (SBIC_LNC017553)". The record is from RNAcentral. Lineage: Eukaryota; Viridiplantae; Streptophyta; Magnoliopsida; Poales; Poaceae.
ACACGGUGAGAAGUCUUGUUAAGAAGACUUAAAACAUUGAACCCUCGCCGAAAGGUAAGAUCGGUAGUUAUCCAUAUUUAUCCUUUCUACAUUCCCUUUUCUCUUUAAUUAUUUACUUUCCUUAAAUAGAUUAUUAGUUAAUCAUGCUAUCUUGAAAAGAAAAUAGAAAUGUUAAAAAAAUACUAAGCCCCAUGUGAGUAUACGAGUGGCAUAAAACCCAUAAGUACCUUCACUGUGGUGGCAUAAAAAUAAAAUAAAUAUUUCUUUUCUGCGUUAUAAAAUAAAAAUAUCAAAACAGGGAGCAAUAUUUAUUGAGGAAGCUCAACAUGAUGAAGGCUAGAUAUUUAUGCUAACACUUAAUUAGUUCUACAAGCUUUGUUGUCUAUUUGAGCUCCACAGAAUUUAAGAAUCAAGAAGACUAGUAGACGGAGGACAUUCUAAUCGCUGUCAGAAUGCUGCUGACUUUCAAAUACACCUCUGCCACCUGCUAGCUACAUCAAGAGAAAUUACAUCAAAAUUCAGCUUGGA